GGGGAAUAUUGGACAAUGGGCGCAAGCCUGAUCCAGCCAUGCCGCGUGAGUGAUGAAGGCCCUAGGGUUGUAAAGCUCUUUCACCGGUGAAGAUAGUGACGGUAGCCGGAGAAGAAGCCCCGGCUAACUUCGUGCCAGCAGCCGCGGUAAUACGAAGGGGGCUAGCGUUGUUCGGAAUUACUGGGCGUAAAACGCACGUAGGCGGAUCGGUCAGUUAGGGGUGAAAUCCCAGGGCUCAACCCUGGAACUGCCUUUAAUACUGCCGGUCUAGAGUUCGAGAGAGGUGAGUGGAAUUCCGAGUGUAGAGGUGAAAUUCGUAGAUAUUCGGAGGAACACCAGUGGCGAAGGCGGCUCACUGGCUCGAGACUGACGCUGAGGUGCGAAAGCGUGGGGAGCAAAC
RNAcentral lists this ribosomal RNA (400 nucleotides) under uncultured bacterium. RNAcentral describes it as "bacterial SSU rRNA". It matches the Rfam family "Bacterial small subunit ribosomal RNA", at positions 356 to 773 of the family's 1533-position model. The record is from RNAcentral.